This is a small nuclear RNA of Ictidomys tridecemlineatus (thirteen-lined ground squirrel), 107 nucleotides long. NCBI's taxonomy places the organism in Eukaryota, Metazoa, Chordata, Mammalia, Rodentia, Sciuridae. The record is from Ensembl.
GUGCUUGCUUUGGCAGUACAUAUACUAAAAUUGGAAUGAUACAGAGACAAUUAGCAUGGCCCCUGCUCAAGGAUGACAUGCAAAUUCAUGAGGCUUUCCAUAUUAAA